UACGGAGGGGGCGAGCGUUGUCCGAAGUUACUGGGCGUAAAGGGCGCGUAGGCGGGGUGUCACGUCCGCUGUGAAAGCCUGGAGCUUAACUCCGAAACUGCAUUCGAUACUGCGGUGCUUGAGGACUGGAGAGGAGACUGGAAUUCAUGGUGUAGCAGUGAAAUGCGUAGAGAUCAUGAGGAAGACCAGUGGCGAAGGCGGGUCUCUGGACAGUUCCUGACACUGAGGCACGAAGGCCAGGGGAGCAAACGGG
Molecule: ribosomal RNA, 253 nt
Filed under: uncultured bacterium
Lineage: Bacteria
Description: partial 16S ribosomal RNA
Rfam family: Bacterial small subunit ribosomal RNA
Source: RNAcentral